This 907-nucleotide long non-coding RNA is filed under the name Sander lucioperca (pikeperch). RNAcentral describes it as "lncRNA (ENSSLUG00000023173.1)". The record is from RNAcentral. Lineage: Eukaryota; Metazoa; Chordata; Actinopteri; Perciformes; Percidae.
GGCGAAGUGUGGCUGCUCCGGUCCUGGAGGGGAUGGACCGUUGCAUGCCAAACGUCUGGCGUAGGAAGGAAAAGUUUUGACAGCUUCUUUCUUGGUGUGACAGCCUUCCACAUUUCGUUGGAGUCUUGGUGGUGAAGCUUUUUCCACACACUACACCACUGUAAACUGCUUUGAUCUAUAUCUCCAUCCUGUUACCUGUGUGAAGUCUCUGGUCGUGCAGCUUAAAUAACGCACUCUGACCGGAGCGCUUUCUCCGACUUCACCUCACCGAGCCCGGGCAUCAUGAGAACCUGGAGGCGGCGGAAGAACUUUGCCUUUCUGUUCUUUGCUCUCCGCGUCUGGUGCCUGUCCACAGCGACAGAAAAUGCUGACAACACGCUUUACAAUACACAGGAAGGAAGUAGUCCAGACAAGGCUAAACAGCGAGGGGAAGCAACCGAUCCAGAACGCUAUGAGACCACAGUACCGCUGCUGCUGAAGGGCAAGGAGCGAAGACCUUUCUCCCAGCUCACGGCCGGGAGUUAUCCUCCGUCACUCCAGCUGCUGGUACGUGCAGAAGGUGAACAGUUGAUCCUGUUGCUGGAAAAAAAUGAUGACCUCAGCAUCAGCUGUGAGUCAUCCGUCACCAUCCUGAGGCCCGGGAGCAUGCUGCCAUUCCCAUCCGGCCUGUCUGUCUGUCAGGCCAGAUGUGUCCUCUGAUAUCGCGUCACCAGUUCAGCCAACUCAGAGCAGGUGUUCUCUGACCUCUAUGUGGUUCAGUUUUGUCGAGACUGUGACAAUUCAGUCUGGGGCAGAAGGAAAGAUGAGGGCGCAUAAAAGGAAAAUGCCAACGAGCUAGCUAUGCCUUGACAUUUUUCUGAAUAAUUUACAGUAAUGUUUUCCAAGCUGGCAACAGUCAGUCCUGCUC